RNAcentral lists this small RNA (78 nucleotides) under Marmota monax (woodchuck). The record is from RNAcentral. Lineage: Eukaryota; Metazoa; Chordata; Mammalia; Rodentia; Sciuridae.
GCCAGGUGUGGCGGCGCAUGCCUGUCAUUCCAGCGACUUGGAGGCUGAGGCAGGUGGCAAGCUUGAGACCAGCCUCAG